AACAUCUCCUUAUGAAAUUAUAUAUAAGGUCAAAACUGCCCAAUGAAAUUUUAAUGGCCGCGGUAUUCUGACCGUGCUAAGGUAGCAUAAUCACUUGCCUCUUAAUUGAAGGAUAGAAUGAAUGGAUAAACGAAUACCAAACUUUACCGUUUAUAUGCACAUAAAUUUAUAUAAAGGUGAAGAAGCCUUUAUAAAAAUAAAAGACAAAAAGACCCUAUAGAGCUUAUGAUAAACCAUUAUAUAAUAUAAAUGUAAAUCUUUAGUUGGGGCGACUAAAGAAUAAAUUUAACUUCUUUUUAUUAUUAGAGACAAAAAGUCUAUAUUGACCCUCCACAGAUCAUAAAAAAAAGCUACCUUAGGGAUAACAGUCUAAUAUGCUUUAAGAGUCCAAAUUGACAAGCAUGUUUGGCACCUCGAUGUUGGCUUAGGAUGUCCUCUUGGUGCAACCGCCAAAAAGGUAAGUUUGUUCAACUUUUAAUAUCCUA
RNAcentral lists this ribosomal RNA (485 nucleotides) under Hyalopale leslieae. Its description in RNAcentral is "partial large subunit ribosomal RNA". It matches the Rfam family "Bacterial large subunit ribosomal RNA", at positions 1812 to 2598 of the family's 2925-position model. The record is from RNAcentral. Lineage: Eukaryota; Metazoa; Annelida; Polychaeta; Phyllodocida; Chrysopetalidae.